UCGGGUCCCGUUCCACACCGUGGAAGCUUU
RNAcentral lists this non-coding RNA (30 nucleotides) under Homo sapiens (human). The record is from RNAcentral. Lineage: Eukaryota; Metazoa; Chordata; Mammalia; Primates; Hominidae.